UUGUUGGAGCUGGAGGAACAGCCUCACACUUGCAGAGGUUAAUACAUGCUACUGAUCCCUGAUGGGAGAAUCAUCACCUCUGCCAACAAAGAAGCCUGGUGGAUGUUUGUUUACAGACUGAUGAUGGGACAUCAUGCUCUGCAUCUUCAAAGUUUGUCUCUUGAUUAUUAUUCAUACACAGUAAUGUGAAGUAUGCUCAUAACUAGUAUAACUGGACCAACCUGGUGCUCUUCAUUUAUGGAGGCUGUUGAGUCUGAAUGUUGGAUGUUGUGUAUCUCGUGUUCUCUGGGCUUUGUUGUCCUCAGUCUGUUUGCAGGAUCAGAAAACAAACCCAGGAUGACCGUAAAUGUUUCUUCUCCAGUUGGAUGAUGAUAAGACUGUGACACGGGAUGCCACCUUUAGUCUUGUGAUGAAGCAAAGCUCAGGACAAAGUGUGAUUAAAUUGUACCCACAUGUGUGCUGCUGAGAAGGAUGUACAGGGGCACCUGCAGCCAAAUCCAAGCCUCCUCAGCAACUUCAGGUCUGUCAGCGUGCUGAGGUCACAGAAACAAGAAAAGAAGCUUCAGAGUGUUGUUUACAGUUUUCUGUCAUCAUGAUCUCCCCUGAAGUUUAUCACUAUUAUACAAGCAUU
Oreochromis aureus is the source of this 631-nucleotide long non-coding RNA. RefSeq lists it as uncharacterized. NCBI's taxonomy places the organism in Eukaryota, Metazoa, Chordata, Actinopteri, Cichliformes, Cichlidae. The transcript has 3 exons. The record is from RefSeq and is a predicted model, not a curated record.